This is a small nucleolar RNA of Gorilla gorilla gorilla (western lowland gorilla), 95 nucleotides long. Its record names the gene SNORA70. It matches the Rfam family "Small nucleolar RNA SNORA70". From Rfam's summary of the family: snoRNA U70 seems to be exclusive to mammals and is a member of the H/ACA class of snoRNA which contain H (ANANNA) and ACA box motifs. The record is from Ensembl. NCBI's taxonomy places the organism in Eukaryota, Metazoa, Chordata, Mammalia, Primates, Hominidae.
CUACAAUCAAUUAAGCCACAUGGGGCCUGGUGUGCAAGGGCUGCAAACAGCAGCAUCCUAGGUAGUGUACAGCAGCCUGUUCCUUGUGUACAACA